AUGGCCCGUAGCUCAGUCAGGUAGAGCAGCCUUGCCCCUUGCGGGCUUGGUUCGUCCCCGGUUCAAAUCCGGGCGGGCCUUGCCU
RNAcentral lists this transfer RNA (85 nucleotides) under Mycobacterium phage Porky. RNAcentral's name for it is "tRNA-Gln". It matches the Rfam family "tRNA". Rfam says of the family: Transfer RNA (tRNA) molecules are approximately 80 nucleotides in length. Their secondary structure includes four short double-helical elements and three loops (D, anti-codon, and T loops). The record is from RNAcentral. Lineage: Duplodnaviria; Heunggongvirae; Uroviricota; Caudoviricetes.